Molecule: long non-coding RNA, 408 nt
Organism: Bufo gargarizans (Asiatic toad)
Lineage: Eukaryota; Metazoa; Chordata; Amphibia; Anura; Bufonidae
Exons: 3
Source: RefSeq, a predicted model, not a curated record
AGGUCGUGGCCUAGCAGCUGUUUUUGAACUACCCGAAGUCUGAGGUGAUUGGAAAAGAUGGUCGGAAGCAAUUUUCGAGACAGUGAGGAAGAACUCCUGAUCACUCGCACAUUGGAGCAGGGCUAUGACCGGACCUGGGUCCACGCUGAGUAGCAGGCCAUUGUAAGGGGAUCCAUUCCGAUCUCAAGAGGAAGUUUAAGGGCAAUCACCCUAGAAUGGCCAUAUUUAAAAAAAUGGUCAGAUUUGAAGAGGAGGAAUUCAGAGCAGACCAGAGAGAUCCGUGACAGAAAAUGCCCAGGAUCAUUUUCGGGUUGGAUAUAAGUGGAAAACACAUUUUUGCAUCUACAAAAUUUGUCACAUGUACAGUAAAAUUUCCAGCCAGUGAGCUGUGGCAUCUUGGAGCAGCAU